AGAUUGAACGCUGGCGGCAGGCCUAACACAUGCAAGUCGAGCGGCAGCACGGGUACUUGUACCUGGUGGCGAGCGGCGGACGGGUGAGUAAUGCCUAGGAAUCUGCCUGGUAGUGGGGGAUAACGCUCGGAAACGGACGCUAAUACCGCAUACGUCCUACGGGAGAAAGCAGGGGACCUUCGGGCCUUGCGCUAUCAGAUGAGCCUAGGUCGGAUUAGCUAGUUGGUGAGGUAAGU
RNAcentral lists this ribosomal RNA (236 nucleotides) under uncultured soil bacterium. Its description in RNAcentral is "partial 16S ribosomal RNA". It matches the Rfam family "Bacterial small subunit ribosomal RNA", at positions 26 to 262 of the family's 1533-position model. The record is from RNAcentral.